Tigriopus californicus is the source of this 948-nucleotide long non-coding RNA. RefSeq lists it as uncharacterized. The record is from RefSeq and is a predicted model, not a curated record. Lineage: Eukaryota; Metazoa; Arthropoda; Copepoda; Harpacticoida; Harpacticidae. The transcript is spliced from 3 exons.
UAGGCGCGCUAAUUUUUGAAUUUGACUCGAAGCGAGAUCGGAUCUUCGUGGUGGGAUGGGCAGGGGCGUGGGGCUUUUGUUUGUUCCCUUUUACUUUGAGGACAAGUCUGGGGGCAUUAGGCCUGAGAUCGAAUGGUGAACUGAGACGUCGAGUGCCCGUUGGUGUGUCCAUCUUGGUCACAGAUGAAGAAGAGCGUUGAAAUGAAAAGUUGUGCUGACAAACAUGACCACAUGUGUGACCCUGAAAGAUCUGUUUUUGUGGAAAUUUAGGAAGGUCGAAAGGCCAAACAUGUGACUGUACACGACAAAAAAAGCCGACCUUCCUACGUUCCCUUUCAACCAGGAGCAUGCGGCAUGGCGCCGACAACUUCGCAGUCCUCGAACACCAAGCUUAAAGCUGAAUGUCUAUUAAAUGGAACCAAGUCUUGGAUAAUUUUUUUUUUUUGGGGGGUGUGUGGAGAGGUGGCACAGUUGGCAUGUGUCACCCAAAACCCCUACAAGCUGUUACGGGCUCUCAUGAGUGUACUCAAAUUAAAAAAACAGAACUUAUGUUACUCGAAAGUAACCAUCAUUCACCCGGUUCCAAGUUCUCAACAUUUCCCAGGUCGCUGAUUAGGGAAACAUCAUGCGAGCCCUCCAUUAUCUUGACCAGUUGAGGAAAUGGUUGUCGAACCAAAGUAACCAAUCUCCGCAUCCUACCGGACCUUGUGCUUUGAAACAACCCAGACACUUCCAACAUAGUACAAAGAGGGUAAAUUGGGGCCUUGGACAAUUCUUCGACGAAGACAUGUCCACGUCACCCUGAUUUUGGAGCUCGGACAUCUAUGAAGAUCAGUCCUCCUUCGUAGGAGAGGAUAUGAACUUUCGUUAUUCCAGCCAAGAGAUCGAGAUUCAUUCUAUGUAUUUUCAGUCUUGAGUUUGUCAUAAUAAACGCGAGUUUGGGGUCAA